GACGAACGCUGGUGGCGUGCUUAACACAUGCAAGUCGAGCGAGAACGGGCUAUAGCUUGCUAUAGUUGUCAGCUAAGUGGCGCACGGGUGAGUAAUGUAUAGGUAAUAUGCCUCUUACUAAGGGAUAACAAAUGGAAACGUUUGCUAAUACCUUAUACUCCUUAUUAACAGAAGUUAAUAAGGGAAAGAUUUAUUGGUAAGAGAUUAGCCUGUAUUGUAUCAGUUAGUUGGUGGGGUAAUGGCUUACCAAGACUAUGACACAUAACUGGUUUGAGAGGAUGAUCAGUCACACUGGAACUGAGACACGGUCCAGACUCCUACGGGAGGCAGCAGUGGGGAAUAUUGCACAAUGGACGAAAGUCUGAUGCAGCAACGCCGCGUGGAGGAUGACACAUUUCGGUGCGUAAACUCCUUUUAUAUGAGAAGAUAAUGACGGUAUUAUAUGAAUAAGCACCGGCUAACUCCGUGCCAGCCGCCGCCGUAA
Molecule: ribosomal RNA, 484 nt
Filed under: uncultured bacterium
Lineage: Bacteria
Description: partial 16S ribosomal RNA
Rfam family: Bacterial small subunit ribosomal RNA
Source: RNAcentral